GGAUUGUUAUCUUCGAUACCCUCUCUUAAAGAACAAUAAUCGAACUUAUAAACAAAGGAUUCGAACAGUUUAAGCAAGAAGUCAAUUUUUUUUGCCACUGUGCAACAAUCAACAAUGGUUUUAGAAAUUGAACAACCAAACUAACAAAAUUAACGGAAACAAACUUAGCCGAUAAUAGUAGCAAAUAAGAAGUACGAAUCUAAGCCGACAUCGAAGAGGAAACAGAAAAGAAGAGAAGAAAAAUAAAAGAAC
RNAcentral lists this long non-coding RNA (252 nucleotides) under Gossypium raimondii (Peruvian cotton). RNAcentral describes it as "long non-coding RNA (GRAI_LNC003894)". Lineage: Eukaryota; Viridiplantae; Streptophyta; Magnoliopsida; Malvales; Malvaceae. The record is from RNAcentral.